UUGAAACAGAAGUACAGGAGUACCAAUGGAUUGAUUUGAUUUCAAAAUUAUUAACAAGCUUUCUUCUUCCAUGCUUUUCUUCUGGACAAUGCAAAAAAUUAAGAAUUAAAAGAUUAUUUGUGAUUAAUUUUUUGUAACUGAAGGGAAUCCAGGGAACAAAUUGCCAUUUGAAGUGGUUAUCAUCCCAAAUAGAGAAGUAACAAUUAUUUUUCAGGACCUCUUGACCUAUUUAAUCAAGUCCCUACUUUUAGGGAAACAAUCUCAUUUCUGACUUGCACUUUUCUUUAUUUCUCUCUUAUGUCUUUAUCAGGUGAUUAAUGUUAAAUAUGCAGCUUAUCCCUCCUUAGAGAAAAGUAAUAUUGAUUUUAUUCACAGGAUAAAUUAAUUUCCAUCAGCAUUUUAACUUCAACAGAUUCAGAAUUUUUCCUGAGGAAUAGAAAGAAAUACUACUGGAAGGAAAUGAAGUUUUGCUAUUGAUGAAUCAGGAAGUACCACGCAUUUCAUUUUGAUAGCAGAAUUAACUGGGACAUCAAAAUGGCUAUGGAUCAGACUUAAAAUUCAUUCCAGAAUUUUUAAGAAGCUAUGGUACCGCGUGAUGGUCAAUGCAGCCUAACACAUUUUGACCAUCUGGAGGUGUUAGGAAUGGAGCUCCCCUCCACAGAAGAGCAGGCACGUGGUGUGAGAGACUUGCAUUCCUGGAGCACAGCUCUGAAAAGAUUUCCUCUUAAUUAUAAUUCUUCCAAGCUAAGAGCAAUGAAGAAUAUUCAACUUGUCUCAUGUUCUUCCUCUGACAAGCCUCCUUGACCACUAAGAUGGGGGUGAGGAUUUCAUCUGAGCUUACUUGAAAAUGAGCAAAUUAAAGACCAUAACUGAGAUGUUUACAGUUGCAACAUGGUGAACAAACAGAUAAGGU
This 913-nucleotide long non-coding RNA is filed under the name Calidris pugnax (ruff). Its description in RNAcentral is "lncRNA (ENSCPUG00000011193.1)". The record is from RNAcentral. Lineage: Eukaryota; Metazoa; Chordata; Aves; Charadriiformes; Scolopacidae.